RNAcentral lists this ribosomal RNA (1495 nucleotides) under Salmonella enterica subsp. enterica serovar Oslo. Its description in RNAcentral is "partial 23S ribosomal RNA". It matches the Rfam family "Bacterial large subunit ribosomal RNA", at positions 665 to 2141 of the family's 2925-position model. The record is from RNAcentral. Lineage: Bacteria; Pseudomonadati; Pseudomonadota; Gammaproteobacteria; Enterobacterales; Enterobacteriaceae.
GCCGGAGGGAAACCGAGUCUUAAUUGGGCGUUAAGUUGCAGGGUAUAGACCCGAAACCCGGUGAUCUAGCCAUGGGCAGGUUGAAGGUUGGGUAACACUAACUGGAGGACCGAACCGACUAAUGUUGAAAAAUUAGCGGAUGACCUGUGGCUGGGGGUGAAAGGCCAAUCAAACCGGGAGAUAGCUGGUUCUCCCCGAAAGCUAUUUAGGUAGCGCCUCGUGAAUUCAUCUCCGGGGGUAGAGCACUGUUUCGGCUAGGGGGCCAUCCCGGCUUACCAACCCGAUGCAAACUGCGAAUACCGGAGAAUGUUAUCACGGGAGACACACGGCGGGUGCUAACGUCCGUCGUGAAGAGGGAAACAACCCAGACCGCCAGCUAAGGUCCCAAAGUCAUGGUUAAGUGGGAAACGAUGUGGGAAGGCCCAGACAGCCAGGAUGUUGGCUUAGAAGCAGCCAUCAUUUAAAGAAAGCGUAAUAGCUCACUGGUCGAGUCGGCCUGCGCGGAAGAUGUAACGGGGCUAAACCAUGCACCGAAGCUGCGGCAGCGACACUGUGUGUUGUUGGGUAGGGGAGCGUUCUGUAAGCCUGUGAAGGUGUGUCGUGAGGCAUGCUGGAGGUAUCAGAAGUGCGAAUGCUGACAUAAGUAACGAUAAAGCGGGUGAAAAGCCCGCUCGCCGGAAGACCAAGGGUUCCUGUCCAACGUUAAUCGGGGCAGGGUGAGUCGACCCCUAAGGCGAGGCCGAAAGGCGUAGUCGAUGGGAAACGGGUUAAUAUUCCCGUACUUGGUGUUACUGCGAAGGGGGGACGGAGAAGGCUAUGUUGGCCGGGCGACGGUUGUCCCGGUUUAAGCGUGUAGGUGUGUGUUCCAGGUAAAUCCGGUUCACUUUAACACUGAGGCGUGACGACGAGGCACUACGGUGCUGAAGCAACAAAUGCCCUGCUUCCAGGAAAAGCCUCUAAGCAUCAGGUAACAUCAAAUCGUACCCCAAACCGACACAGGUGGUCAGGUAGAGAAUACCAAGGCGCUUGAGAGAACUCGGGUGAAGGAACUAGGCAAAAUGGUGCCGUAACUUCGGGAGAAGGCACGCUGACACGUAGGUGAAGUGAUUUACUCAUGGAGCUGAAGUCAGUCGAAGAUACCAGCUGGCUGCAACUGUUUAUUAAAAACACAGCACUGUGCAAACACGAAAGUGGACGUAUACGGUGUGACGCCUGCCCGGUGCCGGAAGGUUAAUUGAUGGGGUCAGCGCAAGCGAAGCUCCUGAUCGAAGCCCCGGUAAACGGCGGCCGUAACUAUAACGGUCCUAAGGUAGCGAAAUUCCUUGUCGGGUAAGUUCCGACCUGCACGAAUGGCGUAAUGAUGGCCAGGCUGUCUCCACCCGAGACUCAGUGAAAUUGAACUCGCUGUGAAGAUGCAGUGUACCCGCGGCAAGACGGAAAGACCCCGUGAACCUUUACUAUAGCUUGACACUGAACAUUGAGCCUUGAUGUGUAG